This 477-nucleotide ribosomal RNA is filed under the name uncultured bacterium. RNAcentral's name for it is "partial 16S ribosomal RNA". It matches the Rfam family "Bacterial small subunit ribosomal RNA", at positions 28 to 507 of the family's 1533-position model. The record is from RNAcentral.
GAUUAACGCUGGCGGCGUGCAUAACACAUGCAAGUCGAACGAUGAAACUUAGUAGACUUCUUCGGAAAGACACUAAGCGGAUUAGUGGCGAACGGGUGAGUAACGCGUGAGUAACCUGCCUUACACAAGGGGAUAGCCUUUGGAACCGAAGAAUAAUACCCUAUAAAACCAUAAAAGCACAUGCUAGAAUGGUCAAAGUGAUAGCGGUGUAAGAUGGACUUGCGUCUGAUUAGCUAGUUGGUGAGAUAAAAGCUCACCAAGGCAACGAUCAGUAGCCGGCUUGAGAGAGUGUACGGCCACAUUGGGACUGAGACACGGCCCAGACUCCUACGGGAGGCAGCAGUGGGGAAUUUUGCACAAUGGGGGAAACCCUGAUGCAGCGACGCCGCGUGAUUUAGAAGGCCUUCGGGUUGUAAAAAUCUUUUGUAUAGGAAGAAAAUGACAGUACUAUACGAAUAAGGUCCGGCUAAUUACGUG